GAUGAACGCUGGCUACAGGCUUAACACAUGCAAGUCGAGGGGAAACGCCGGGGAAGCUUGCUUCCCCGGGCGUCGACCGGCGCACGGGUGAGUAACGCGUAUCCAACCUGCCUCUGACUGAGGGAUAACCCGUCGAAAGUCGGCCUAAUACCUCAUGGCAUCGUCUGCGGGCAUCCAACGACGAUUAAAGAUUUCAUCGGUCAGGGAUGGGGAUGCGUCUGAUUAGCUUGUUGGCGGGGUAACGGCCCACCAAGGCUACGAUCAGUAGGGGUUCUGAGAGGAAGGUCCCCCACAUUGGAACUGAGACACGGUCCAAACUCCUACGGGAGGCAGCAGUGAGGAAUAUUGGUCAAUGGGCGGGAGCCUGAACCAGCCAAGUAGCGUGCAGGAUGACGGCCCUAUGGGUUGUAAACUGCUUUUAUGCGGGGAUAAAGUGAGGGACGUGUCCUUCAUUGCAGGUACCGCAUGAAUAAGGACCGGCUAAUUCCGU
RNAcentral lists this ribosomal RNA (490 nucleotides) under uncultured bacterium. RNAcentral describes it as "partial 16S ribosomal RNA". It matches the Rfam family "Bacterial small subunit ribosomal RNA", at positions 28 to 506 of the family's 1533-position model. The record is from RNAcentral.